UAGUGUAAAGGUUUUUCUAAACCAAGGUC
This 29-nucleotide non-coding RNA is filed under the name Rattus norvegicus (Norway rat). Lineage: Eukaryota; Metazoa; Chordata; Mammalia; Rodentia; Muridae. The record is from RNAcentral.